CCAGACUAGACUAUAUUAGUUUUCUUCAAUAGCAAACUCAAGUUACCUUGCCUCCAAAGAUUUCGGUAAAACACCAUAAUUGGCAAAAAGUUCUGGCAAAAUAGCAUUGAAGUGAAAUUACACAUGUAUACAACGAAGUUAAAAAGGAGGAGAAGAAAGAGAGGCACCAAUCCAUUAAAGGCUUUUACAGGUGAAUCUGUAUAGAAGAGAGUGAAAACUCACACCUUUUAUAAUUCAGCUUUGUACCAUCGGAUCAGUAGAUAAGACAAUCUAUCUCCUUUUCUUUAUUGGAACGGACAAUCAAGGUUCGCAAAUUCGUACCGUACUGGAAUUUCGACGUUAGCUCGGUACGGUACGAUAUUGUAUACCGAGUGGUAUACCGCUCGGUAUAUAUAUAUAUAUAUAUAUAUAUAUAUAUAUAUAUAUAUCUCAUUCCGUCCGGCAACGAGCGAUCCGUGUACCGGUCAGCUGACGGACCGGUACGUACUGCUCGUACCGGAUGGUAUUAUUCGAAAUUGCAUACCUUACGGACAAUAAAUAUUUUUUCCCCUUAUUCAUGAUUUUUUAAGAAAACUUAAUUUGCACCUAUCAAUGAAGUUAAGAUCGGUAAGCACCUGCAGUGCAUACACUAGACAAUAAUGGACAAAAUUAUGGUCCAUACUGAGUGGUGCUGGACUAACAAUGGUCAUAGAACUAGCUGAUGAGGGAUGAUAUCAAGCUCCUGUAUUCAGAACUGAAGCUCAGGAAAAACCCUCGAGGAUAUAAACACAGACAGACCCAUGGUUUAUGUAGCAACCCAACAUUCAAGUUUCGCAUAGGGAAACUUUCAUCUUUAGGAUAUGCAAAGGGAAGGCAAAAUCUUGACUAUUUGGAAGAACGAAGGGCUCUUGGGCAAAAGCAUGGACUCUAGAAGUAAAUUUCUUAUACCAAGGCCAACCAAUGACGUGUGGAUGCAUGAUUGUAAGUCUUUGUCAAUUACUUCAGUCAAAAAAGUAGGAUUUAAGAAAUAGAAGCCUGAGAAACAUGCAACUGCACUUGUGUGUACCUAUUCUGCCUUAACUGUGAAGGGCGUGUGCUAGCCGGUGCAGAGCAUGAGGCUUGACGUGAACCAAGAUCACUCGAUUGUAUUGAGCAUUUCAUAGAUGGCACUGUUGAGUAAACAAUACAGAAUAAUUAAAGGGAAACAUCUCCUGACAAACAUAUACAGCACAGUCAAACAAUGCAAAGGCACAAUUUAGCGCAUAGCAGACCUGAAGUUGAAGUAUUACUUAUAUCAUGGUGUCCCACAUCUGUUGGAGUCAUUGUUCUGCUUGAUGAACUUAAGUUUUGUCUCUUCUUCAUCCUUUCUGCUUCAUCUUGCAACUCUUGCUGUCGAAUCCUUAUCUGUGCUUCUAUAACCUUCUGCUCUUCCUGCACAUAGGCAUAACCAAUGGUGAAGAAGACCUAUUUUACAAGGAACAGAACACUUGCAAAUUUCAAGACGUAUGUCAGGCUAAUAUGGUAAAGAACUUACGACUUGCUCCAUGCCCUUUUCCUCUUUCGUCUUUGCACCAUGGUAUUCCACCGCAUAAUUUGAAGUUUUACAGAAGGGGCAUCUUUUAUGUUAAGUAGAAAUCAUUUAGAAGGGUUAAUUAAGGAUAGGCUACAAUAAGAAUCAGUUCCAUCAACAAAUGAGACAAAGGAUACUGUGAUGGGCGAGUUGAAUGUGGUGGUUUCAUCUGAAGAAAGCACUCUGCAGAAGAAUCCAGCUCGAGAGAUGGAACGAAAAAGACAUGGAUACAGACAAUCCAGAAAUCUGAAAGAAAAUAUUCUUCGACAUAAAAAAAGAGAAAAGGGAAAAGGGAAAACUGAAGUACCUGUGCAUAUGCCCUUCAUGC
RNAcentral lists this long non-coding RNA (1877 nucleotides) under Musa acuminata (dwarf banana). RNAcentral's name for it is "long non-coding RNA (MACU_LNC010462)". Lineage: Eukaryota; Viridiplantae; Streptophyta; Magnoliopsida; Zingiberales; Musaceae. The record is from RNAcentral.